AGAUGUUUUCCCCACCAACUGGUGGUGCAGGCCCAAAAAAUGGUAAUGUAGCUGGUUCUGAUCAUCAUUCAGCAUCCAACUACAAGCAAGGGAGCAAGGAAAUUACAGGAGCGUGUUUCAAGUGCAGGCUUUACCUAUUCCAUCAAGUCUGGAUUCCCAAUAAAGCCAGUGCUUUAUGUUGGAGAGUAGCUCCAAAGCUUGGAAUUCACUGCCCAAGAUUUUAAGGUCAAUGGGGGCUACCAGAAGAAUAAGAGCCAAAGUGCAAUUUCCCUCAUCCCCAUCAGAAUUAAGCCAGCUCUGAUCUCCCCAGAGAGGCGGCCGAGGUUCGCACGUUUAACAGGCAUUUUACGGCUCCAGUAGUCACUCGCAGUGGGGCAAUCGUCUUCAUCGCAUUUCUUGUUCAGCCAUGUUCCUUCCUUUGCUGAGCCCCCCUUUUUCUAUCAAACUAUAUAGGGCUGUGCCAAUCAGGUAGAUCUGUGCUCUAAAACACGACUAUGGGAAUUACCGAAAUAACUACAUAUAGUACUUAAGAAAAAAUACAUGCAUCAUAGAAUGAGAUAUACAUGUACUUCAAUCUAUUUCUUUACUAACUGGAUGAAUUAAAGCCUGAAAGUAAUUUAGAGUACAAACAUGUUUUAUAUAGGGGCCUACAUUGAAAUAUUGCAUGAUUAUGACAGGUAUGAGAACUAUUGCAGUGUGUCACAAAUGAUAUAAAACUUACAUGUAGGAAUCUUCUCUCUAUUUGUCUUUUCACACUUCUUGUUUUUUGUUUUCGUAUUUUACUUUUUCAUUCAGUUUAUUUAUUUGAAAUUUGUCUAUCAUUAUUUUUGUCAUAUAUUUUUUUUUAAGAACACAACAUGAACAUACAUGUACAGUAGACUCAAAAGAGAGCCAAGAUUUUUGUUAAAAAGCGAUUGGGCCUUUGAGGUUCAGAAAAUGAUUCUGUCAACUUUAUUCCCCAAUUCAUUUCCAUGCAGCUAAUAACAUCAGAGGUCAGGGGUAGCCUAACACUGUCAGUGAGAAAAAGAGGCAAAGUUCAUUAAAAAUCACUAUUGUUUGUGUGAAAUGCUUGAUUUUUAUUUGUAAUUGAUCAUUGCUAAACUUAAUUUGAUCAUGUGAUUAAGAAAGGGGAGAUGGAGAUUUGUUUUAAAAAUAAAUCUUUUGCACUAAAAUAAGACAUAUUUGAAUGCAGAAUAUAUCAUGUCUUCAACAAAUUAUGAAAACAUGACCAGGAUACACAAGAUGAACUGUAGUGGAGUGUUGCUUCCCAUUGUAUUUGUAAUUCUAGGAUAAUAAUACUGUACUUGCAAACAACAAUGUGCAGUGUGUCUUCACUAUAUUCAGCCUUGUUGUAUUUGGCAUUGAAUCUUGUGAUAACUCAAUCAUAAAUGAAUACCUCAGGAAGAUGAAUAUGGCCCACAUGUACAUGUAGUCAUUACAAUCUCUAACUCAUUUUAUACUCAGCAAGAACAAAGUAGAGCAGAAUAAUAUGGAGGAUGGCUAGAAGUGGGAUAUAGCGAGAAGGAUGGGGGGGGGGGGGGGGCAUUUACAUUAAAGUACCCUUUCUCAAGAGCACCCUUCAUUUGAUAGAAAGAGGAAAUUCUAUUAGUGCAUCUGUAAUUAACUGUUACCCGGUGAUUGUAAAAUCAAUGCUGAAGAGUAGGGGUUCAUAUUAGAGUAGGGAUGGUGUGCUAAUUGCAUAUGCCCUGUAAUUUAGAGAGCAACCUUGUGAUUGUCUGAGAAGGGAAUGUAAGUGCUAAUUAAUUUACUUGAUAAAAGACAUCUACUACCACUAAGGGCUGAGAUCACUCCUGAUUUAAUAUUGCUAUUCUUUAAUAGGGAAACACAAUCACAGGUUUUGCAUUUUACAUGUACAUUGUUGGUGCAUCUGAUGAUGAGAAAUGGAAACACUAGGCAUUCAGGUUAACACUGCAUUCACAUAUGAAACUUGUGCAUAUGUUGAUUCUCAUUGUAGUUAAUAGAAUGUACCCUGCAAUGUGCGGAGAUGAAUUAAAUGUUUCCUGUUCUCUCAGAUCAAGGAAAAUCAGAUUUCUAAAAUUUAUUGCUGAUAUCCAUUUAGUGUUAUUCUCAAUUAUCUUUAUACUUCAAACACAUCUCCAUGCUACUUGUAACAGUGACCUUCUAGUGUUUGUAUAGAUUUGAAAACAUUUAUCUUUUUUAUUCUUGUUUAGAAUAAACCUUCUCAAGAUCUCACAAAAGAUGUAGCCUAAUUUACAUGUAAUAAUUAAUUUUCAAAUGUGAACAGUGUAUUACAAGGUCUGUUCGUUUCAGGAUAUGAUGGUCAUUAUUAGUCAUUAAAUGGAUCUUGUUGAAACCAUAAUUCAAUUAAAAUGUGGGCUGUAACAUGUCUCCCACAUCAACACUACUUGAAAAAAAAAAUAUAUUGAUGGGCAUCAGGUGGAAAACAAUCUUGAAACUUGUAUUUAACUCUAUCUCUAAUACUAGGCUGAGUCAUUUGAUUUUUUUUAAAUGUUUAAUUGAUUUUAAAAUGGUUUCUUGAAAGUGUUUAUAAGUCGUUACAGCCCUCCCUUCACAGUUGGGGGUCUGAAUAUUGUAUGAAGAAUGCAUCAUCAGAACACUCAUUUAACAAUUUUAAGGGUUAACCUGAAGCUUUUGAAGAAAAAAAUUAUUUGGUUAAAUUGUAUUUCCUUAUUACUUUUUUAGGAGGGAGGGGGGGGGGGGUGGGCAUAGAAUUUCACUCCGUCUUAUCAAGUCAAGUGCACUGUAAAAAAAAUCUGAUAAAGUCCCCUUUAUUGUUCAGAACUGCGAACAUGGAAAUGAUUUUAAGAGCAUUUAACUCUGACUGGCUGUUACAUGUAUUACGUUGUUUAAUUUACAUGUAUACGUGAUAUUAAUAGUUACAGUUACAUGUAAGGCCAGGGUGUCUUACACAGAAAGAUGGAAAUCUACUGGUCAAUAAAAAUGGAUAAAACCUUGAACAUGUUUUUCUCUGAUUUCUUGUGACUGGUUUGUACAUUGUAAGACUGACAAUGAAUCAACUACAUGUACAUCUAGGAGAUGACUCGGGCGGUAAAGUUUAGCCUUAACUUUUUAUUUUAGAAUUGAUGGUGAACAUUUGAGAUUUGGAUUUGUGAAACUUGAAAUGAAUUAAUGUAUUUGUACAUGUAUGUGCAUUUUGAUAUUAUAAUGAAAUGUGUCAAUGGAAUAAAUUGAUAUACUGUAUGUGUACGAAUAUAUAUCAAUGCCAUGGGAAUGAUACAUUGAUACAUAUAUUCAUUAUUGAAAUAGAGAUUUCAAAAUAAAUUGUAACAAAAGUUGAAA
Molecule: long non-coding RNA, 3303 nt
Organism: Lytechinus pictus (painted urchin)
Lineage: Eukaryota; Metazoa; Echinodermata; Echinoidea; Temnopleuroida; Toxopneustidae
Exons: 2
Source: RefSeq, a predicted model, not a curated record